UAACCUGCCAAAGAGAUCGGGAUAACACCUGGAAACAGAUGCUAAUACCGGAUAACAACAGAUGAUGCCUAUCAACUGUUUAAAAGAUGGUUCUGCUAUCACUCUUGGAUGGACCUGCGGUGCAUUAGCUAGUUGGUAGGGUAACGGCCUACCAAGGCGAUGAUGCAUAGCCGAGUUGAGAGACUGAUCGGCCACAUUGGGACUGAGACACGGCCCAAACUCCUACGGGAGGCAGCAGGC
This 240-nucleotide ribosomal RNA is filed under the name uncultured Lactobacillus sp. RNAcentral's name for it is "partial 16S ribosomal RNA". It matches the Rfam family "Bacterial small subunit ribosomal RNA", at positions 122 to 354 of the family's 1533-position model. Lineage: Bacteria; Bacillati; Bacillota; Bacilli; Lactobacillales; Lactobacillaceae. The record is from RNAcentral.